Molecule: ribosomal RNA, 303 nt
Filed under: Triticum aestivum (bread wheat)
Lineage: Eukaryota; Viridiplantae; Streptophyta; Magnoliopsida; Poales; Poaceae
Description: partial small subunit ribosomal RNA
Source: RNAcentral
AUGGCUCCUACCAAGGCUGAGGCUGAUGUAGAGGAGGGAGAAGAGCAGAAGAAGAAGGAAAGGAAAGCAGUCGGAGCUGCUUUCACGUGGAUUCAAAGGAACUUUGGGCAUUGCCCUGCGGAUGCCACUGAUGAUGUGAUACAGACACAUGCUCGUGUCUAUAUGUGGUACGUUGUCUCGAGGACUUUGUUUCCUGACUCCACAGGCAAGAACGCUCCAUGGAUGUGGCUGAAGGUGUUGACCGUCUUCGAUAGCGGAUGGAGCUGGGGUUCACGACUCUUGCUUACUUGUACCGAUAGGUAG